AUUGAACGCUGGCGGCGUGCCUAACACAUGCAAGUCGAGCGGUAACAGGUGUAGCAAUACAUGCUGACGAGCGGCGAACGGGUGAGUAAUGCUUCGGAAUCUACCUUAUGGUGGGGAAUAACUAGCCGAAAGGUUAGCUAAUACCGCAUACGUCCUACGGGAGAAAGCAGGGGAUCGUAAGACCUUGCGCCAAAAGAUGAGCCGAAGUCGGAUUAGCUAGUUGGUAGGGAACGGCCUACCAAGGCGACGAUCCGUAGCUGGUCUGAGAGGACGACCAGCCACACUGGGACUGAGACACGGCCCAGACUCCUACGGGAGGCAGCAGUGGGGAAUAUUGGACAAUGGGGGAAACCCUGAUCCAGCGACGCCGCGUGUGUGAAGAAGGCCUGGCGGGUUGUAAAGCACUUUUAGUGGGGAUGAAAUGUGCAGGGUUAAUACCUCUG
Molecule: ribosomal RNA, 443 nt
Filed under: uncultured bacterium
Lineage: Bacteria
Description: bacterial SSU rRNA
Rfam family: Bacterial small subunit ribosomal RNA
Source: RNAcentral